CCUACGGGGGGCAGCAGUGGGGAAUAUUGCACAAUGGGGGGAACCCUGAUGCAGCGACGCCGCGUGAGUGAAGAAGUAUUUCGGUACGUAAAGCUCUAUCAGCAGGGAAGAAAAAAAGACGGUACCUGAGUAAGAAGCCCCGGCUAACUACGUGCUAGCAGCCGCGGUAAUACGUAGGGGGCAAGCGUUAUCCGGAAUGAUUGGGCGUAAAGGGUGCGCAGGCGGUCCUGCAAGUCUGGAGUGAAACGCAUGAGCUCAACUCAUGCAUGGCUUUGGAAACUGGAGGACUGGAGAGCAGGAGAGGG
Molecule: ribosomal RNA, 305 nt
Filed under: uncultured bacterium
Lineage: Bacteria
Description: partial 16S ribosomal RNA
Rfam family: Bacterial small subunit ribosomal RNA
Source: RNAcentral